UAUAUACUCCCUCCGUCCCAAAAUUCUUGUCUUAGAUUUGUCCAAAUACGGACGUACCAAGUCACAUUUUAGUAUUAGGUACAUCCGUAUCUAGACAAAUCUAAGACAAGAAUUUUGGGACGGAGGGAGUAUUAC
Molecule: non-coding RNA, 135 nt
Organism: Triticum aestivum (bread wheat)
Lineage: Eukaryota; Viridiplantae; Streptophyta; Magnoliopsida; Poales; Poaceae
Source: Rfam